This 330-nucleotide ribosomal RNA is filed under the name uncultured bacterium. RNAcentral describes it as "bacterial SSU rRNA". It matches the Rfam family "Bacterial small subunit ribosomal RNA", at positions 1 to 334 of the family's 1533-position model. The record is from RNAcentral.
ACACGUGAUUCAGAGUUUGAUCCUGGCUCAGAAUAAACGCUGGCGGCGUGCCUAACACAUGCAAGUCGAGCGAGAAAGUCCUUCGGGAUGAGUAAAGCGGCGGACGGGUGAGCAACGCGUGAGAACCUGCCCUUCAGUGAAGAAUACCCUCGAGAAAUCGAGGCUAAUGCUGCAUGCGUCCCUUCGGGGAGAAAGGUGGCUUUAUGCUGCCGCUGAAUGGAUGGGCUUGCGUACUAUUAGCUAGUUGGUAGGGUAAUAGCCUACCAAGGCAAUGAUGGUUAACCGGCCUGAGAGGGUGUACGGUCACACUGGAACUGAGAUACGGUCCAG